UACGUAGGGUGCGAGCGUUGUCCGGAAUUAUUGGGCGUAAAGGGCUCGUAGGCGGUUUGUCGCGUCGGGAGUGAAAACUCAGGGCUUAACCCUGAGCCUGCUUCCGAUACGGGCAGACUAGAGGUAUGCAGGGGAGAACGGAAUUCCUGGUGUAGCGGUGAAAUGCGCAGAUAUCAGGAGGAACACCGGUGGCGAAGGCGGGUCUCUGGGCCGAUACUGACGCUGAGGAGCGAAAGCGUGGGGGAGCGAACAGG
Molecule: ribosomal RNA, 254 nt
Filed under: uncultured bacterium
Lineage: Bacteria
Description: partial 16S ribosomal RNA
Rfam family: Bacterial small subunit ribosomal RNA
Source: RNAcentral